RNAcentral lists this long non-coding RNA (9370 nucleotides) under Gallus gallus (chicken). RNAcentral describes it as "lncRNA (ENSGALG00010010326.1)". Lineage: Eukaryota; Metazoa; Chordata; Aves; Galliformes; Phasianidae. The record is from RNAcentral.
CCCGCAUUCGCUCGGCCGGCUCCGUAGGUGGCCGUGUAUAUUUUUGUUGAAGUAGUGUUUAUGUUAAUGAAAAAGUCUGAGAUUACAAACAGACCACUGAACGCCCGGGAUGUUGCUGCCGGAUUGGUCUACGUUGUGUAUUUUAAACCUAAUCAGGAGCAAAUAUGAUUUCCCCCCCCCCCCCUCCCGUGUAUGUGUGUGUGUGCAUUAUUUUUAGCAGAAAGACGUACGGGAUGUUUGGGGAGCCCCGUGCCACCCCUGUCCCUUUACCCAGUGAUUUCGGAGCUGUGUUUUUCCCUGUGUGGCUGGGGAGGGAGUGGGGAUGCAGGGAGAGGUGUCAGAGCAGCUAUCCGAGAAUUACCCCCAGAACAACGAAAACGAUCCCAUUGCUCCUGGAAAGGGAAAGGAAGGGCUCAGCUCACCCCCUCCGAGCUCCCUCCGACCCCAUAGAGGGGUUUCCAUGCGCCGGUGGCAAACGGGUGCGCGUCCCUAAAGCCUCGCCUAAGGGAUGGGGUAUCCUUUCCUUUGGGUAUUUUCUUUGCCGGGAAUUGCUGGGCACAACCUGAAAUUUGCAUCAAAAACCCCUUCCAAUUCGGCAGUGAAAAAUGCCAUUUACAAUUUGCCACAUGAAAAAAAAAAAUAGAUAAAUAGGCAGAAAUACUGAUAGAUUUCAGCCCUUGUAAAUGCCAAGUGUGCAGCAAUCAGUUCAUCCAUUGCUUAAAAGUGGAGGUCCGGAGAGCUUUUGGGUUUUUCUUUCAGGAGGGAGCUGUGAUUUUCUUUGAUUUCAGAGCCUUUUGGGGUCCCUUUGAUUCCGGUUUCCUUAACAAAAAAAAUCACUUCUGGAACCCCCUCAGCUGCUCCUAUCUCCCCUUCCGUUGCUGUGCUGGUGAAGAUUCAAAGAAAAUAACCCUAUUUUUGCAGACGUUCCUCUGCUGAUCGAUCACUCCCAGCACAGAGGGAUGCAUUUGGGGUCCCGGCAAAAGGGUUUCUCCCCCUUGACAGCUUUGCAAGCAACAGUGAGGCGGCUUUGGCAUCGCCUUCCUUCCCAAUAUUUGCCUUUUGUGGGCAAAAGCUGUCGGUGGAGCAGAGCUCUCCGGCACGGCCAGCCGGAGGAUUUGUGCACUCCGAUGUUUUACUACUGUUAUGAUUCCUCAUUGACUGAAAGUACAAAGAAAAUCGCCGUGUAAACAAGUCGCCGUCUGAAGGGGAUGUGGGCGAAAUUCGGGGCAAGCAGAACCUCAGCAGGGAUUUAAGGGAAGAAGGGAAACAAGGGGAAAACACGACAAUCCUGUGUAAGGUUUUCUCUAUGCAAUGGCAGUAUCACUUCGGAGCUGUGCAGGGUUUUUUUUCCCCAUGUUUCAUGGGGCAGAGGAGAGCCCUAAAGUGGUUUUUUCUCCCUGAGAAUAUCUGGAUGGCAUCGAUCUGUCUCCCAACAGAAAGAAGUAGGUUCCAGCAUGAGGCUUAGGGGGUUUCUUCAUUCUCCCACCUGAAACUAGCAGUUUUUUUUUUCCAUGAAACUGUAUUUUAUUGCAUUCUUUCUUUUGAGCGGGUCAAUCCCCCCCCUUUUCUUUUAACCUAGCAACAUUAAGCAACGCUGCAGAGGGAUUGUCAACACUACAGCAUUUGGCUUUGGGGAUAACACCACUGCUGUCGGAGCCAGGUUUCUGGCCAGCAGCUCCAAGGACUGUCACAGCCAUGUUGUGCGUUUGGGAACGUCAUGCAAUGGGGCUUUAACUGUGAAUGGAGGACAUCCUGGCCCCACUAUGGGUGGGAUAAGAACAACUCUCACCUCAAAGGGUGCACUGAUGACAGAGCCAGCUCCCACCAUCUGUGGAUUUCCUCAUCCUGGCAGCUCAGUGGGGAGCAGCAGGUCCUAGCUAAAUGCCUUGUGGUCCAGAUGCCAUGGACCAUCCCCCCUGGAUUCAAUAAGAGCAGUGCCCCUACAACACCAUGGUGAGCAGUUGCAUGGAGGUUUGAGCCAUCCCAGGGUGGAGAUCACCUUCUCCAUCCCCACAUUUGCCAUAAGCCCAAACCCAGCCCCAUCACAUGCAAUGAUAAAAAGGGAACUGGCAGCACAAAACUCGUUGUGAUUUCCAGGCUGAUGUCUGCACAACCCUACUGGCUUCUCCGAAAGAACCAAGAGACACAAACCUGUUCUGUCCUAAGGUUUCCCAUUAAGCUAAUUACUGCUAAUUGUACCACUUGGCUAUCUCACCAACCGCACCCUGAGCAGGGCUGAUAGGGUAUCAGUGAGAUAAGAAGCACUCGAAUAGCACAGGUAACAGAACUUUGGGAGGGGUUAUCACCCCUACCACCCUCCUUUGGGGGACACUGAGGUCAUAAGGAUGUGUGCAGGGGCUGGCACACAACUAUAAGCCUUUCAGGAAAUGCUACCGAGGGGUUUUGGUGACUGUUCUCUGCAAGUUGCAGAGAAGCAAGCUGGCAUUCAUUUCAUAGUAAUUCCUUUAAAUUCACUUAGCAUGCGGAUUAUUUGUAUGAGCUGUUUUUGUUGCCGUUAACACAACACUGUGGAAAUGGAGGUUUCAUUAUUUCUCCAUUUUUUCCCCCCUCCCACAGAGAAAUAAAUGCUGUUCUUUUAACAAAUGCUGUAUUUCUCACUUCAUUUCUGAUUUCUCCCCAUCUCUGCUGGCCUACCUGAAGCAAUUCAGCUCCCACACUGGCACUAGGUAGGGAUUACUAUCACCUGCUUACUAAAGAAGAGACUUGGACAAGGUGCUCUUAUUUGAAAACAUUUUUGGUACAUGACUUGCAAUAAGAUACUUGGAAUUUUCACACUCAGAGAUAUAUUUUGUUAGGUGUAUAGUCUCCCCAGCACAUGCAGCUUCUGGCUGUGAGUGUAUAAAAGCACAUCACAUCUGGCAGGUAAAACACACUGGCCACAUCAACACCUACAUGUUGUCUUGCACUCAUAUGUUUCAGAGCUUGCUGAUGCAACUACUGCACCUCAUAGAGGCAGGUGUGCUACACAGCGUGGCUGAACUGGGCAACUCAUGGCUGAGUCCCCUCACCCGAGGCUUGGGAUGUUGUUCAUGUCCAUUGCUCCAUGUAUAAGAGCAACACUGGAAGUCUGGAAAGCCAGUUAGGCAGACAGACAGACAGGACAUUUUCUUCUGUAAGGUACCCUGAUCAUCUGCUCUUCCUUUCAGAGCCUGGUCUGCAUUCACAUUGGUUUAAGUUACCCGAGUUUCUCAUUGUCCUACAGUGAAGCUCAUAACAAAGCCUGUGGCCAGCUCUUUCUUCGAUAAUUCCUUUCCCCCAUUUGUUUAUCUCAAGUAGUGAGCUUUGUUCCAGGCCCAAAACCAAAAGCCUUUCUACCCUGUUCUCUCCUUGACUUGUUGCAGAUGUAACGAAAUAAAUCUUUAGCAAGAACAAACCUUCACUUCCUCUCUCAGUCACAAACCCCAGGAAAGAAAAAUAAAUCACAACGUGAGCUCACCCGCUCUCGGAGGAUACCACGUUACUCCUGAAGGCUACCACUCAAACUGGAGGUGUCCGUCCCUCAGAGAGAUCAACGAAUGCAGCAAAUUAAUGAGCAGCAUCAGCCCAAGCUUUGACAUGAAACCAGCCCUGAAAACAAAGCCAUGUGCAGUGCCAUGAGCCAGGCAAUCCUAAUUCUCCAUGUUACCUUCCCAUUCCGUGGCCUGUUGGUGGGACAAAGAGUUGGUACCCAUGAAAUCACCAUUUUAAGUGUGGCCAAAGUCAAGAGCGGAUAAAAGCCUGCCACGAUCAGUCUGAAUCACGGUUGAUGUGAUGGCCAGCAAUGGUCAGGAGUGGGACUGUGCUGCUGGUGUGCUCCCAGCAUUCAUCCCUUGGGCACUGAGGGCCAAUGAGUAUCUCUGGCUCAUCCCAAAACUCUGCCCCUCGUCUCCCCUAAUCCACCUAAUGCCUUUUCAACUGGAACCGGAAAAAGCAGCAGCAGGGUGUGUUUGUUUUUCUCAAUUGGCCGUGGCAAAGAGGUAGAAAUACACCUCCAAAUAGCAUUUCCUCCUCUCCUGAGAGAAGUCUCCGUAUGAGAGCUGUGUUGCUCAGGAAGCCUCAAACCAUCUCUGAAUGUGACCAAAUUAUAACAGCUGUGUCUCCGGUUGACACAGGUCUAAGAUAAAGACGGAUUGACUUUAAGCUGGGAGUACAAAACUGCACAGAAGCAGCGAUGUGGAUUUACACCAGAUAGCUUUUAUUCCUUCAAGGAUACUCAGGGGGAGAUGAACCAUGAGAUACCCACAAAUCGUGCUGAAGUCAGAAGACAUUUGGCCCAGACACUUCAGGGGGCUGAAAUGAGACUUUCCUCCUUCUUCUUCUUCUUUUUUUUAAACAAGAGAUCUUUGCAGUUUUGAAACAAUCCGUACAGUUAGCAUUGAAGAAAGUGUAAUUAGACACUUGGAGGACUGGAAGAAAUUAACUCCAACCACAGGCUGUCACUCAGACCAUUAUUUAAUUAUUCUCCCCAAAUGCGCAAAGCACUUAGUUUUAGAAUAACAGGAAAGAAGUCUAACUCCUCACCAACAGCUCAGUCUCUGGAUGGGGACACAUGCACAUAAAGCCAAUGGGCUCCCAAGCCAUAGGAUGGGGACAGGAACAAGCGCCUUGGGCACAACUUUGGGCUCUGAAGGAUGUGAUUGAUGCCUGAAUGGCUGGAACCCAGUCAACGGGAGUGCCCAGCCCAAGGUGCAACAGGCUGCGGGAGAGAAGAUCGCCUUCAGUUUCCAACAUGCCAAGGAAACCACUGAGAAAUUGCUGUUUUCCUUCUUCUGCAGCACCGGGCAGAGCCGUUGACUCACCCCUCGCUACAGAAGCCUGGCUAGAAAGAGAUUAUUGUGAUUUCUGACUGUUUCUUUCCUAACUACAAAAGGCCCCAUUCAUCUGGGCUAAUUUUGACGGGAGAGCAAGGGGUAUCAGUAGCAUGAACUGUAUCUGAGCGUCUCGACCGCAUUUCAGCAAGCCAUGCUUGUUGGCCAGUUCCAGCCAGUGAAAUGGAUAUCCUCCAUUUCAAGCUUUUUAGUGGAUCGUUUCUCUGGUUCUAAACAGAGGUAUCUUUUCUGGCCGUGGCAAGUUUGAGAAGUACUGACGAAGCAGAGACGGCCAUUUUCAUGGCAGGAACAAGAGGCCAUUUAAAAAGGGGGAAAGGGCUGUUCUGCUCGAUCAGUGCACCAGCAUUUGUCUACCUACAUGCACCAUGCAUGUGCACCGAGGCUGGGCCCAGAACAGUGAAUCUCUGCCUUAUUUCCAAGGUCUGAACAAAACAUACUUUUAUUUUUAUUUUUUGAAAAUGCUAAAUUUGCUUAAUUGCGAGCCUUUGUGGAGCUCAGCUGGGACUGCCUGCGUGUGUGGGAAGGGCUGGAACGUAAUUGCUUUCAGCAGAUAUCACUGUAGUCUGUAAUUAAAACAUAUGAGGCUGCCAGCUUCAGAUUUUCUAAGUGAUUUCAUCUGUAUUUGGGUGAUCACCUCUCUCUGAGAGGCUCAUAUUAAAUGAUAUUUCAAGUUCCAGUGCACCAAAUGGGUGAAAAACAAUUUUGUCCUCUCCUUCUUGUAGUCUCCAAGCAAGUCACCUAGGCAGCUUGGAGAGGCAGAGCUCAGACCUCAUACGCACAUCCCUUCACCAGGGAAAUGCUUGGUGAAAGCUGCUCAAGAAGUGCUGCUCCAGAGACAGAGCGGAAGGUGUUGAUAAAGCUUGUUAAAGAAAAAGGAAGGGGGGAAAAAAGGCUAACAAAAAAAAUCUGGCACCUCCUAAAUCAGAGUGACAAUUUCAGUGCAGUGUUUACAUGAGGUAGUAAAAAUAAAUUGCCUGAGACUGAUUAUACCCACAUGGCACUCUAAAGGCAACAGGGAUGUCCCCCAGUAUCAGAAACCCAACACGGGGGAAAUACGUGAUGAUGGCAACCCUCAGCCCAUUGGGGCCAGCACUGCUUUGUUACUUGCCUCAAUAGGUGGAAGCAGCAGUGAGAAGAGGGAUCUGCAACUCCCCACAGAUAGACAUGAUCGCCCCAGGAGCCAUGGUUGGCUUACAAGGCCACUGCUGUUGAGUCCUACAAGGGCUGUAGACAAAGGAGCGUGUGGGUUUGGGGCAUCCUCAAGCUUGGACAACAUACGCCUGCUGGAUCAAAAUGGGUAAUGGAAGAAGGCAAAGAUGAUAGCAUCACUGUUAGAAUUGUAAUGAGUCACAAAUGCUAUUUUGAUGGUUUUCUUUGAAAGACAUGCACAAGAGCCAACCGAUGUAAUUGAAGAUCUCCAAGGCUUUGUAAUCAGCACGGCCACAAACGAAGGCAAACCUACUUUCAUGUGGUAGAAUACAAGAGGAGGUUCCCCAUGAAAAUUAAAAAAAAAGGGGGGGGGGGGUGGGGAAAGAAAGAGAAAAAAGAAAUUUUGAAGGGUUUUGUUUGUAGUGAUACCAGGACAUGAAGGACAUGCAGCCCCCAGAAUGACUGCAACAGCCUUCACGGCUGAGAUGUUUAAACCUAAGGAAUAGGAUGGGUCACUCAGCAGACAGUUUUUAUUCUUGGCAAGUAAGCUCUGAGCAUGGGGAAAGUGAGCAUUUUUGGCCUACGUGUGACCACCUGGGACUGAUCUGCUCGGAGGAGCAGGAAACACCAUGCAGUUGACCUGAUAGAAAUAGCUGCUGUUUCCUUUGCAUCCCAUCACCACGGGGCUGUGAGGUGCACCGUACCCCUGUGUGCAUCCAGUGUUUGCUGAAAAACAUCAGGGAAAUGGCGAGAGGGUGGAUUAAUCUGCCUGAAGAAGCUUGUGAUUAAUGCAACUUGGAUGGUGCUGUGGGAAGGCGGAUGGCUUGAAAAGAUGGAAGGAAGUCUGAGGCUGUCCUGGCUUGAUACUAUAUAUGGUCUUUGGUCAGUUCUGCCUCAGAGACUGCAGCCAGAAUCAGAUUUUUACUGUAUUUCUUUUGAAAGCGGAAAAAUGCUUGAAUAAUUUCACCCAGCUCAAAGAGCUGAGACAGAUAGGUCCAACAGUAAUCCAAGUGGUGAUGGAUGGGUCCACCAGCGAUCCCCGCUAUGAACUGGCUGCACCAGCAGGAUGAUUUCUCAGAGCACGAGCUGUGAGUUUGACCAAGUCCCUUCCAGCAGCCCUACUUAGGCUGCAAAGCCCCAGAGAUUUGUGCUUUCAUGCAGAUCCAACCUGCACUGAUAACCAGCACUGCUGAACGCGCUGGAACAUCCCCCCUCCCCACCCCUUUUUACAUCUGCUCUACAUUUGCAUCUCAGAAAUUAGAGAACUGAGCUAUGCAGAAUUACAGAGCACGGGCUGGAGUAUGGAACUGAUUGGGUAUUCAGGCUAAAUAAGACGAGUUUAAAGAUCUUUCCAGGAAAUUGAGUGGAACACCCAAACUGACAUUCAGUAUUAAAUAUUAUAUUUGUGCAGUUGCUCUCCAUAGCCCGUUGGCACUGAACAUCUGGGAGCACGAUUUAUAACAUACAGAAACUGAAUACCUGCUCAAAAUUAUGCUCAUCAGAGCUCAGAAAUUAAAAUAUUACCCUGUACACUCCGAGCCACUCCAUUCCUAAAAGGUAAGGCUAUUAAAAUAUGAUUAGCUGAGCCAUAUCUGGUCUCAGAAAUGUCAUACACCAUUACAACUGAAAAGACUUUGAUGCAAUGCUGUUGGCAAAGCCCCCUGCUUGAUCAGCAGCAAGAUGCCUAAGAAUGAACCUUGCAAAUACUUGCCCCAGCAUCAGGAGGGAAAUGCAGAAGAGAAGGGGAGCUGCUGGUUGGAGAUGCUGGAGUGGUUUGGGUCUUCUAUUUAGGGUAGGCAAGAGCUGAAAGCUUGAAUGCUAUUAUUAUUAUUAAUAUGGAAAGAGUCCCGCUGCCCUUUGCUGUCCAUUGCAAUGGGCUUCUUAUCCUUGCCCAGUACAGAGGUAGCCCCAUUGCUGUCCCCAGCCAUCGCUGCUCCCGGCCCUGCGCUGCCACAUUUCCAAGAGCACUCCAUGGGUGGUCGGGGUCACAUUUCCCCUCUUGUUGGAGAAUAAAAUCCAAACAACAGCCACAGAAAACCUGUAGGCACUGGGCUCAGGUUGGGGUGAUUACAAUCCUCUGCUUCUUGCAAUGCAAGAAAUUAUAUAUGCAUAUAUAGAAACACAUGCAUAUAUCUUGUAGAAUACCAGUUAGAAUGAUAGAAUUAUAUAGGGAUAUAAUGACAUAUUAUCUAAUCUAUACAUUAAAAUGAUGUUAUAUUUAUGUAAAAUCUUUCGCAAUACAUGAUUGUCUCUCCCAAUGAGGCAUUGAACAGCAUUCACCAUUAAACAUUCCUAUGCUGGUAUCUCUGUAAGGGCUCAGCUGGGGAUGGUCCCCCCAGGUCUGGGGCACUCAGCUCUGGCCAAAGCCUUCCCUAGGGCUGGCCAUGUAAUCCCAGCCAUGAUGCCUCAGCCCUAUUACCCUUUGCCCACCCCACAGCCAGCAGAAUUCCCUUAUAUUGAAGCCUGCAUGCCCCGGCCCUGCGGGAGCUGCCUCUCCCCGCCUUUGUCAGGGCUUAUUACUCCAUGUUUUCACACUUAUCCCCAAGGUGUUGAACUCACCCUGAAGGUUAAUUAGUAAUUUAUUGCGCUGUCAUCAGUUGGAGGCUACUAAUGGCUUCAAUUUAGCCCUAGGGCUCUUUUUUUUUUUUUUUUUUUUCUUUCUUCCUCCCUUCCUUUCCUCCUGCCUGCUCUGGAGAAGCUGGAAGCUGCAGUGCAUGGGAAAGCAGCAGAACUACCAGCUGGAAAUAUGGUCUCAAGGGGCUGAAGGUGGCUCUGGGUGCUGUCCUGUAUCCCUGGCCCGGUCAGCAAGAAAGCAAUUUAAAUCAAUUCACCAGAACGGCAAAGCUGAGAGCACGUGCCUGUGCCUGUGCUUAGCAACAUCACCAGCUGCUAUAGCAGGACAGCCUGCAUAGCAUAGAGGAUGGCACACCGACCCCACCACCUGACCUCUGGGCAUCUGCUUUUUGCACUGCACACCUGCAAGGCUCAUUGCUGAGCAAUGGGAGCCUCUGUGGUUGGAGCUGAUGAGGGAUGGGUGGCAAUAAGGAGCUGUUCUGCCCAUCCCAUAAUGCCCCUCCAGCAUGCCUCAAUUUCUCUCCCACCCCAUCAUAGUGAUACCAAACAGAGUCCCCAGGAUGGCACACUGUGCCCCCCUGCUGUGUGUCACCCCAUGUCCCCACCAGCCCUGUCCCGAUGAAGUACCUCUUACAAAACAGCCAUGCACUGAUUUCUUUUCUUAAUUAUUUUUUGGAAAAUAACCGAAUAACCCCAUUUCCUGUGUUUAUACAGACCAUUAGGUAAACCAGCCACGGGAAGGGGGAAGAGAAGGGAUGCGGGAUGGAAGCGAGCUCUGCAGCCAGGUCAGGGAGGGUGGGGGGGGGGGUGGGUUAGCU